UCCUUGUUAGCUCAGUUGGUAGAGCGUUCGGCUUUUAUGUUCGCUUACAGGGAACCGAAAUGUCAGGGGUUCGAGCCCCCUACGAGGAG
RNAcentral lists this transfer RNA (89 nucleotides) under Lachancea thermotolerans CBS 6340. It matches the Rfam family "tRNA". From Rfam's summary of the family: Transfer RNA (tRNA) molecules are approximately 80 nucleotides in length. The record is from Rfam by way of RNAcentral. Lineage: Eukaryota; Fungi; Ascomycota; Saccharomycetes; Saccharomycetales; Saccharomycetaceae.